UAGUCCACGCUGUAAACGAUGUCGAUUUGGAGGUUGUGCCCUUGAGGCGUGGCUUCCGGAGCUAACGCGUUAAAUCGACCGCCUGGGGAGUACGGUCGCAAGGUUAAAACUCAAAUGAAUUGACGGGGGCCCGCACAAGCGGUGGAGCAUGUGGUUUAAUUCGAUGCAACGCGAAGAACCUUACCUACUCUUGACAUCCAGAGAACUUUCCAGAGAUGGAUUGGUGCCUUCGGGAACUCUGAGACAGGUGCUGCAUGGCUGUCGUCAGCUCGUGUUGUGAAAUGUUGGGUUAAGUCCCGCAACGAGCGCAACCCUUAUCCUUUGUUGCCAGCGGUUCGGCCGGGAACUCAAAGGAGACUGCCAGUGAUAAACUGGAGGAAGGUGGGGAUGACGUCAAGUCAUCAUGGCCCUUACGAGUAGGGCUACACACGUGCUACAAUGGCAUAUACAAAGAGAAGCGACCUCGCGAGAGCAAGCGGACCUCAUAAAGUAUGUCGUAGUCCGGAUUGGAGUCUGCAACUCGACUCCAUGAAGUCGGAAUCGCUAGUAAUCGUAGAUCAGAAUGCUACGGUGAAUACGUUCCCGGGCCUUGUACACACCGCCCGUCACACCAUGGGGAGUGGGUUGCAAAAGAAGUAGGUAGCUUAACCUUCGGGAGGGCGCUUACCACUUUGUGAUUCAUGACUGGGG
Molecule: ribosomal RNA, 690 nt
Filed under: uncultured Serratia sp.
Lineage: Bacteria; Pseudomonadati; Pseudomonadota; Gammaproteobacteria; Enterobacterales; Yersiniaceae
Description: bacterial SSU rRNA
Rfam family: Bacterial small subunit ribosomal RNA
Source: RNAcentral